UGAUAAUGCAUUUCAACCUGAAGGAGUC
This 28-nucleotide non-coding RNA is filed under the name Mus musculus (house mouse). The record is from RNAcentral. Lineage: Eukaryota; Metazoa; Chordata; Mammalia; Rodentia; Muridae.